This 405-nucleotide ribosomal RNA is filed under the name uncultured bacterium. Its description in RNAcentral is "bacterial SSU rRNA". It matches the Rfam family "Bacterial small subunit ribosomal RNA", at positions 355 to 774 of the family's 1533-position model. The record is from RNAcentral.
UGGGGAAUUUUCCGCAAUGGGCGAAAGCCUGACGGAGCAAUCUCGCGUGAGGGAUGACUGCCUAUGGGUUGUAAACCUCUUUUUUCAGGGAGGAAUAAAUGACGUGUACCUGAAGAAUAAGCAUCGGCUAACUCCGUGCCAGCAGCCGCGGUAAGACGGAGGAUGCAAGUGUUAUCCGGAAUCACUGGGCGUAAAGCGUCUGUAGGUGGUUUAAUAAGUCAACUGUUAAAUCUUGAAGCUUAACUUCAAAAUCGCAGUCGAAACUGUUAGACUAGAGUAUAGUAGGGGUAAAGGGAAUUUCCAGUGGAGCGGUGAAAUGCGUAGAGAUUGGAAAGAACACCGAUGGCGAAGGCACUUUACUGGGCUAUUACUGACACUCAGAGACGAAAGCUAGGGUAGCAAAUG